UAACACAAUGCAUGAGUUAUUUUAACACAAAAUUUAGAGUGGACUUUCUGGGACAUUAAAUUUUUUACUGUGUAAAUUGCAUGGUUACUUGGUAGAGAAGACUCGACAGUCAGGACUUCCGAGGUAGAGGAUAAAAAAUUCAUAAGGAAUCUACCGAUUCCUUCAAGUUCAUCCUCCUUCGCGGAAAAGAACCGCGAUCUACAAAGUUCCUAUUUCAUAAGCUAAACGGCGAGAUUCCGCGAUCGGACGACGGAUUUCCCGAAUGGGGAGCGCGUCUUUGGUUUUUGCGCAGGACGGACGAGAAGCUCGCCGUUCAACGAGGCCGAAUGGGUUUUCGGAUUCUGCAUGGUGGACGCGUGCGUGAAGAGACGGGGACUUUAACAAUGUGUGUUCAAAGCGACCUGGAGGGCUUGCGAUUUCGUAUCUUCCGGGCACCCGGACGCGAUCGGCGGAACCGUCUCGACACUGGGUUUCUCUUGGACCCGCAACGACGCUCUCGUCAUCGUGUAAAGAACCAGGAAACUUUUCUCGCCGACACGCAUCGAGACGAAAAUAACGCGAAUAAUCGCGACACUGUAAAUCACGUUAAUGAGUCGCGCGCCGUUCCGUAAUGAGUCACAGGUGACACUCGCCAACGAUUUAAUAACGACUUCGCCUCCCAAAGUGCCGCUAACAGGAGAGGCACGUGGUUCAUUACCCAAAUUGGUGAAUCGCAUCUAAAACGAUCAUUUUGAAGAACUACGAUGCACGUAUUAUUCCUUUAUAUCCUGAAAAAUUACGGUUAAAAUAUUGUAAUACCUCAGGACAAAAACAUUUUUUUCGCGCCCUCUGGUACCUUUAUUUUUACUGGAAGAAAUGGCGCUUGCAGGGCAAAGAAAGACGUUCCCUGGUACUAUGCAUCUUUUGUCAGGGGCAUUUUUGGGCGGCGACAGAAUACCUGUUUGAUUUACUUCGAGCUCGGAUCAACCAGCGUCAUUUCGCGGCUUGGAAAUAGGAGGACAGAUGUUCCAUAUUUUACCACACGACACUUCCUUCCGCUUUCACGCCUGCGGGAUGAUUUUCUCGGUUGUUCCCGCGUCCCCCGGGAUAUCGGAUUAUGUACAAAACGUAAACGACAAUUACACUGUACGGCCGGUCGACGCAAAAAUUGCGCGUUAUCAUCCGCAAUUUUGCAGAGGGAGAGGGAGACGACGAAGGGAUGUAAAAAAAAAAAAAAAAAAAUCGCGACCGCGAUCGCGUGAGAGCGUGCUUAAUUCGGAUAUACACAUAUAUGUACGGUAUAACGGCGACUGGUCCAGCUGAUCGUAACAUCCUCAACACACCGACGAGUAAACCGAGUCUAGCAUCUCUCCGGCAGUUUUUUAUGAGACCUUUCCACGCAAAGAGCUUCAUGGCAUCGCGUCAGAUCUGUACUGUAACUUCUCGGCGCAUUUCUCUUUGUUUGUUUAUAAGCGUGUACAUUCUUUGUAAUUGUAAAUGAAAAAAGACAUUUCAUUGUUAAA
Long non-coding RNA from Temnothorax curvispinosus, 1502 nucleotides. RefSeq lists it as uncharacterized. The record is from RefSeq and is a predicted model, not a curated record. NCBI's taxonomy places the organism in Eukaryota, Metazoa, Arthropoda, Insecta, Hymenoptera, Formicidae. The transcript has 2 exons.